UCCUCAUGUAGUAUUUCUGUUGUUGCCGUAUAGAAUUUUAUAUAAAAUAAAUUCCCUUUGGUUACUCUUUUGUAUAUAAUAAAUGCUUUGUAUAAUUCUGAUAUACCGCUUAAUUCUUCUCCAUCGUAGGUAUAUGCAGUACUUAUUAAAUCCAUAAUUAUAACAUGUUUUAACUAGGUUAGCAUUGGUUUUCGGCUGUGCAAUUAGCUUGUUGUAUCCUUG
This 222-nucleotide long non-coding RNA is filed under the name Solanum tuberosum (potato). RNAcentral describes it as "long non-coding RNA (STUB_LNC004869)". Lineage: Eukaryota; Viridiplantae; Streptophyta; Magnoliopsida; Solanales; Solanaceae. The record is from RNAcentral.